GACGAACGCUGGCGGCGUGCUUAACACAUGCAAGUCGAACGGAAAGGCCCUGCUUUUGUGGGGUGCUCGAGUGGCGAACGGGUGAGUAACACGUGAGUAACCUGCCCUUGACUUUGGGAUAACUUCAGGAAACUGGGGCUAAUACCGGAUAGGAGCUCCUGCUGCAUGGUGGGGGUUGGAAAGUUUCGGCGGUUGGGGAUGGACUCGCGGCUUAUCAGCUUGUUGGUGGGGUAGUGGCUUACCAAGGCUUUGACGGGUAGCCGGCCUGAGAGGGUGACCGGCCACAUUGGGACUGAGAUACGGCCCAGACUCCUACGGGAGGCAGCAGUGGGGAAUAUUGCACAAUGGGCGGAAGCCUGAUGCAGCAACGCCGCGUGCGGGAUGACGGCCUUCGGGUUGUAAACCGCUUUCCCCCGUGACGAAGCGUGAGUGACGGUAAUGGGUAAAGAAGCACCGGCUAACUACGUG
This 468-nucleotide ribosomal RNA is filed under the name uncultured bacterium. RNAcentral describes it as "partial 16S ribosomal RNA". It matches the Rfam family "Bacterial small subunit ribosomal RNA", at positions 28 to 507 of the family's 1533-position model. The record is from RNAcentral.